RNAcentral lists this ribosomal RNA (1206 nucleotides) under Psychroflexus sediminis. RNAcentral describes it as "bacterial LSU rRNA". It matches the Rfam family "Bacterial large subunit ribosomal RNA", at positions 1 to 1205 of the family's 2925-position model. The record is from RNAcentral. Lineage: Bacteria; Pseudomonadati; Bacteroidota; Flavobacteriia; Flavobacteriales; Flavobacteriaceae.
AAUAGAUAAGCUUAUUAAGGGCGUAUGGGGGAUGCCUAGGCUCUCAGAGGCGACGAAGGACGUGACAAGCUGCGAUAAGCUGCGGGGAUUAGCACAUAUGAGUUGAUCCGCAGAUUUCCGAAUGGGGCAACCCACUAUACUGAAGGUAUAGUAUUCUGGCUGUAAUGGUCAGAAAGCGAACCCGGUGAACUGAAACAUCUAAUUAGCCGGAGGAAGAGAAAACAAUAGUGAUUUUGCUAGUAGCGGCGAGCGAACGUGAAACAGCCCAAACCAGUACUGUUACGGCAGUGCUGGGGUAGUAGGACUACGAUAUCUUGAUACAUUUUGAACCCAAAUAUUUUGGAAAGAAUACCCAUAGAAGGUGACAGGCCUGUAGGGGUAAGGGAUGUAUCGAGUAGUAGUAUCCUGAGUAGUGCGGGGCACGAGAAACCUUGCAUGAAUCAGCCGGGACCAUCCGGUAAGGCUAAAUACUACUGAGAGACCGAUAGUGAACCAGUACCGUGAGGGAAAGGUGAAAAGAACCUUGAAUAAAGGAGUGAAAUAGACCCUGAAACCAUACGCUUACAAGCGGUCGGAGUCCCGUUUACGGGAUGACGGCGUGCCUUUUGCAUAAUGAGCCUACGAGUUACCACCGUUAGCAAGGAUAAAUAAUUCAGUUAUGGAUCCGUAGCGAAAGCGAGUCUGAAUAGGGCGAAUAAGUUAGCUGUGGUAGACGCGAAACCGUGUGAUCUACCCUUGGGCAGGUUGAAGCUGUGGUAACACAUAGUGGAGGACCGAACCCGUUGACGUUGAAAAGUCUUGGGAUGACCUGAGGGUAGGGGUGAAAGGCCAAUCAAACUCGGAAAUAGCUCGUACUCCCCGAAAUGCAUUUAGGUGCAGCGAUUAAAUAGUUUUAUAGAGGUAGAGCUACUGAUUGGAUGCGGGGGCUUCACCGCCUACCAAUUCCUGACAAACUCCGAAUGCUAUAAAAUGUUUUUAAUCAGUGAGGGCAUGGGUGCUAAGGUCCAUGUCCGAGAGGGAAAGAACCCAGAGCAUCAGCUAAGGUCCCCAAAUAUAUACUAAGUUGAACAAACGAGGUUGGACUGCUUAGACAGCUAGGAUGUUGGCUUGGAAGCAGCCAUUCAUUUAAAGAGUGCGUAACAGCUCACUAGUCGAGCGGUCCGGCAUGGAUAAUAAUCGGGCAUAAGUAUAUUACCGAAGCUAUGC